ACAGCCCGCAAGGCCGACGGCAUCCGCCGCCGCUGGUGCAAGCCCAGCCGCCGCCACAACAGCGGCGGGCGCUCAUGGGUCCCAC
This 85-nucleotide ribozyme is filed under the name unclassified sequences. Its description in RNAcentral is "Twister_sister_ribozyme". It matches the Rfam family "Twister_sister_ribozyme". The record is from Rfam by way of RNAcentral.